CAUUUUUAGCACUGAAGAGAUAAAGCACCUAAAAAUCUAAUGCUGACUUUGUCACUGAUUUGUUCCACGGCUGAGGGCAAAUCUUCCAGCCUUAGUUUCCCCCCUUUGAAGAAGAAUGAAGUUCACUGGCAGUUGAGAGGCACAUAAUGGGUAUGAGACAGUUUAGAGAGAAUGGAAUUUUGUCUGAAUGGAAAGUGCAUCAGUAAGGAUUUGCUACAGAAAUAUGGCAAUCCAAUCUCAUGGGGUGUUGAAAGCAAUAACCGGUUAUGAAAAUUGUCAGGUAUUAAUAUUUGCAAAGCACUAUAGAUACUUCAAUACCUGAUUCUGUAAAAACUGAGUAGAACAUCUGCCUUUCAAAAAUGUUUGGUAAAGCUGGCAUUUACAGGUUAAGGUUUGAGAAGUUUAAAUCCUUUCAGUUCCCUGUUAUUCUUUCCUCCAUUCAUUCUUCAUCUGUAAGUGGGCAGGAUGUCAUGCCUGGGGCAUGUCGUGAGUGGCUUUUUACCUUGCCUGAACACCUGUGUAUGGUUUGUUUCUCUGGAAUAAGAUCUUUACUUCAUCCAGUUAUUGUUUAAGAAUUAAGAUUCCUUUUUCUUUUCGUUCUUUUUUUGUUCAAAGCUUUGUAAUAGGUGAGAGAUGUGCUUACUUUCACAUGCAUGGAAAACUCACCCAUAAAAACGAAGGUCUUUCACAAUGCAUUAGCUGGGUUUUCUCUCCAGUGCUGACCUUUGACCUCCAUGCACAAUGUGGUAUUCAGCUGUCCUGUUCUCUGAAGUGAAAACCUUCAGAGCCCUCAACAAAGAUAUUUCACCAAGAGUAAGCAGUCCAUGAACUAAAUGACUUAAGAUAAGAAGGCGGUUAAUUCUGAAAUAAAGAUGAAGGCAAGAGGUCUAUAAAAAUUACAAAGCCCUCCAAGGCCGGAUCACUGAUCCCCCCCAUGGUGAGGGUGACAACUCAACCUUCCUUAAGACCCGAAUUAAAGAGACAAGUGCACUUUCUAUUCCAUGGAAUUUCUAAAUGGAUUUCUUUGGACAAACCUGCCCAGUGUUCCUUGGUUGUAUUAAUAAAAAGAGUAGAGAAUCUUAGUGGGGGAGG
RNAcentral lists this long non-coding RNA (1092 nucleotides) under Homo sapiens (human). Its description in RNAcentral is "HSALNT0020014". Lineage: Eukaryota; Metazoa; Chordata; Mammalia; Primates; Hominidae. The record is from RNAcentral.